CGGAGGAUCCAAGCGUUAUCCGGAAUCAUUGGGUUUAAAGGGUCCGUAGGCGGCCUUAUAAGUCAGCGGUGAAAGUUUUGGCUUAACCAAAAUUGCCAUUGAUACUGUAGGGCUUGAAUAUUUGUGAAGUAACUAGAAUAUGUAGUGUAGCGGUAAAAUGCUUAGAUAUUACAUGGAAUACCAAUUGCGAAGGCAGGUUACUAACAAAUGAUUGACGCUGAUGGACGAAAGCGUGGGUAGCGAACAGGAUU
This 251-nucleotide ribosomal RNA is filed under the name uncultured bacterium. RNAcentral's name for it is "partial 16S ribosomal RNA". It matches the Rfam family "Bacterial small subunit ribosomal RNA", at positions 526 to 779 of the family's 1533-position model. The record is from RNAcentral.